GACGAACGCUGGCGGCGUGCCUAAUACAUGCAAGUCGAGCGCUGAAGGUUGGUACUUGUACCAACUGGAUGAGCAGCGAACGGGUGAGUAACGCGUGGAGAAUCUGCCUUUGAGCGGGGGACAACAUUUGGAAACGAAUGCUAAUACCGCAUAAAAUCUUUAAACACAAGGUUUAAGUUUGAAAGAUGCUAUUGCAUCACUUAAUGAUGAUCCCGCGUUGUAUUAGCUAGUUGGUGAGGUAAAGGCUCACCAAGGCGAUGAUACAUAGCCGGACUGAGAGGGUGGUCGGGCCAAUUGGGACCGGGACACGGCCCAAACUCCCACGGGAGGCAGCAAUAGGGGAUCUUCGGGAAUGGGGGAAAGUCUGGACGAAGCACGCCGCGUGAGGGAAGAAGGGUUUCGGAUCGUAAAACUCUGUUGGUAGGGAAGAACGUUGGUGAGAGUGGAAAGCUCAUCAAGUGACGGUAACUAAUCAGAAAGCGACGGCUAACUACGUG
Molecule: ribosomal RNA, 497 nt
Filed under: uncultured bacterium
Lineage: Bacteria
Description: partial 16S ribosomal RNA
Rfam family: Bacterial small subunit ribosomal RNA
Source: RNAcentral